Molecule: ribosomal RNA, 411 nt
Filed under: uncultured cyanobacterium
Lineage: Bacteria; Bacillati; Cyanobacteriota
Description: partial 16S ribosomal RNA
Rfam family: Bacterial small subunit ribosomal RNA
Source: RNAcentral
GCAAUGGGCGCAAGCCUGACGGAGCAACGCCGCGUGAGGGAUGAAGGCCUCUGGGCUGUAAACCUCUUUUCUCAAGGAAGAAGAUCUGACGGUACUUGAGGAAUAAGCCACGGCUAAUUCCGUGCCAGCAGCCGCGGUAAUACGGGAGUGGCAAGCGUUAUCCGGAAUUAUUGGGCGUGGAGCGUCCGCAGGCGGCCUUGAAAGUCUGUUGUUAAAGCGUGGAGCUUAACUCCAUUUCAGCAAUGGAAACUACAAGGCUAGAGUGUGGUAGGGGCAGAGGGAAUUCCCGGUGUAGNNNNNNNAUGCGUAGAUAUCGGGAAGAACACCAGUGGCGAAGGCGCNNUGCUGGGCCAUAACUGACGCUCAUGGACGAAAGCUAGGGGAGCGAAUGGGAUUAGAUACCCGGGGAAU